Molecule: transfer RNA, 132 nt
Filed under: Anopheles dirus
Lineage: Eukaryota; Metazoa; Arthropoda; Insecta; Diptera; Culicidae
Description: tRNA tRNA-Tyr
Rfam family: tRNA
About the family: Transfer RNA (tRNA) molecules are approximately 80 nucleotides in length.
Source: RNAcentral
CCUUCGAUAGCUCAGUUGGUAGAGCGGUGGACUGUAGAACGUGUGGAGGGAGCUCCGUUGAGCAGUCACCAGGAGAUCACUUACCAUCCAAUAGAAAUCCAUAGGUCACUGGUUCAAAUCCGGUUCGAAGGA